UAUCCUCCUUAAGAAACAUCCACAAAGUCCACGCUCCAUACACGGGUGCGACUUUCUAUUUUUAUCAAUGGCUUCUUCAUUGGUCUUACUGUAAAGAUUUAAUCUCAGGCUGCCACAGAUUGUGGUUCAAACGAUAACUGGAAACGAGCAUGGGCAUGAAAAUAGUCAUUAUUUUGCAUGUUGCAGAGCAUGAGCUUAUCUGACACUCGGUGGAGUGCCAACACGGAGUCUGUGACACGAUUGUCCGUUUUCUGAACUCCUCAGUUAAUUUUUACACUUUUUUUUUCUCCUUCCCAGGAGUUUGGAAAUAUUUGCUGCUGCAGGGGAUGUGAUUAGAAACAGGACAGCACUUGCCUCAGUCAAUUGAAGGGUAAUCAUCAGACCUAAACUCAGCCUGAAGACUUGGAAGAGCUCCUGUCUCAUGCAUUCCCACCAAAAACCAUCGGAGGUGCUUCCUAAUGCACGUGCAACAGGAAAAUUCUCUGACUUGACCAUCCCAAAGGAGCCUGAUUGUUUGGUGACCAAUCACAGAAGAGGCUGACUCACUUCCUAUAGCCGCACAUGUUGCCAUGAGAGUGGUCAUCCAUCAUGUGGACGAGGAAAACGUCUUCCACAUACAGUCGGACUGAGUACAUGUGGCGGCCAGAUGUUGUGAAUUCAACAGAUGCCAUUCACCGCAUACUUUCAAGUCCUUACACAUGGGUAAGAAAUAAAUUGAGAGCAACAUAAAAGUUUUGGGUUUUUUUUCACAAUGCCAUGAGCAGCUGGAGCAAGUUUUUCAUUUAAGUCUAAUCCUUGUUCAUUGGUGCUCAUGUUAGAAGGUUCGCUCGUUGUUAAUCCAUUCAAAGAGAAAUUUUAUGUGUGCCAGAAGCUUAGCAACUCAACUUUAUUUCUACCGUACAAAAACCACCGCUGGAACAAAGUGCAUUAUUUUGCUGUAAUUAAUAAUAGUGAUGACUGCCAUGUACAUUUGCAUUUAUCAAACGGGCCGUCACAUUUUGAUUCCCUCUGUUAGAAAUGGAUCGCGAUAAGAAUUAACUCAUUUUUUCUCCCAAAAAAUCAA
Molecule: long non-coding RNA, 1063 nt
Organism: Hippocampus comes (tiger tail seahorse)
Lineage: Eukaryota; Metazoa; Chordata; Actinopteri; Syngnathiformes; Syngnathidae
Exons: 3
Source: RefSeq, a predicted model, not a curated record